UGGGGAAUAUUGGACAAUGGGCGCAAGCCUGAUCCAGCCAUGCCGCGUGAGUGACGAAGGCCUUAGGGUUGUAAAGCUCUUUUGGCGGGGACGAUAAUGACGGUACCCGCAGAAUAAGCCCCGGCUAACUUCGUGCCAGCUGCCGCGGUAAUACGAAGGGGGCUAGCGUUGUUCGGAAUCACUGGGCGUAAAGCGCACGUAGGCGGAUUUGUAAGCCAGGGGUGAAAUCCCGGGGCUCAACCUCGGAACUGCCUUUGAUACUGCAAGUCUCGAGUUCGGGAGAGGUGAGUGGAAUUCCUAGUGUAGAGGUGAAAUUCGUAGAUAUUAGGAAGAACACCAGUGGCGAAGGCGGCUCACUGGCCCGAUACUGACGCUGAGGUGCGAAAGCGUGGGGAGCAAACAGGAUUAGAUACCCCCGUAGUCCCUGAGCGGGCUGGCAAGGCGCAU
This 447-nucleotide ribosomal RNA is filed under the name uncultured bacterium. Its description in RNAcentral is "bacterial SSU rRNA". It matches the Rfam family "Bacterial small subunit ribosomal RNA", at positions 355 to 825 of the family's 1533-position model. The record is from RNAcentral.